Molecule: long non-coding RNA, 885 nt
Organism: Myotis daubentonii (Daubenton's bat)
Lineage: Eukaryota; Metazoa; Chordata; Mammalia; Chiroptera; Vespertilionidae
Source: RefSeq, a predicted model, not a curated record
CCAGAAAUCAGGAUUUUAAAGAGAUUCCCAGGUGAUUCUAAUGUGCAGCCAAGGUUGAGAACGACUGCUCUAGGCUGAGCUUCCAGGGUGACUCCUGGAACAACUCUGCAGAAUUAGCUCACUGAGGGUGCUGGGGGCUGCUGGGAAGUCAGGAAACCUCUGUCUCGAGCCCAGGGCCCCCGGCCCAGCCAGCACCCAAGCCAGCGCAGUGUGUGCCCCGUGUUCUGCCAGCGGAAAAGCCACUGCACCGGGGAUCUGCAAACCUGUGGUGUCUGCUGGGUGGAAGCCAGUUGGCAGCGGAGGAUAUGAAGAGGAUCAGACCAGACACUGGAAGAAAAGAUGCUAGCUACAUGUGUUUUACGUCUGCCUCCUCAGUGAAGCUGGGACUUUAUGCUUAUCUGGCAACUUCCAGCCCUAGGAUCAAGACAGAACUUGGCCAGAGGUGACAAUUAAUUUUAUGUGUCAACUUGAUUGGGCAACAAGGUUGGGAUGUUGGCUUUUUCCUGCCUUUGGACUCCAAUUGGAAUAUUGGCGUUUUGGGGUUGCAAGCCUGUGAAGUUAUAGACUGAAACCACACCAAUGGUCCUCUUGGUUUUCAGGCCUUCAGACUUCGAUGAAGCUAACUCAUCAGUUCUCCUGGGUCUCCAGCUUGCUGAUUCACCCUGAAGAUCUUGGGGCUUGUUACUUCCACAAUGACAUGUGCCAAUUCCUCAUAAUAAAUCUGUGUGUGUAUGUCUGUGUAUGUGUGUGUGCAGGCAGAGUGAUAAAAAGUAGGUUUACAGCUGUAUGUGAAACACAUAAUUUAUUCUUGUAUUAGAAUUUAUUAAUUACUGUAUUUUCCAUACCAACAACUGUAACCUACUUUUGCCCACCCCUGUAUACAUA